RNAcentral lists this ribosomal RNA (484 nucleotides) under uncultured bacterium. Its description in RNAcentral is "partial 16S ribosomal RNA". It matches the Rfam family "Bacterial small subunit ribosomal RNA", at positions 30 to 507 of the family's 1533-position model. The record is from RNAcentral.
AUUGAACGCUGGCGGAAUGCUUUACACAUGCAAGUCGAACGGCAGCACGGGGGCAACCCUGGUGGCGAGUGGCGGACGGGUGAGUAAUACAUCGGAACGUGCCCGGUCGUGGGGGAUAACGUAGCGAAAGUUACGCUAAUACCGCAUACGAUCUGAGGAUGAAAGCGGGGGACCUUCGGGCCUCGCGCGAUCGGAGCGGCCGAUGUCAGAUUAGUUAGUUGGUGGGGUAAAGGCCUACCAAGCCGACGAUCUGUAGCUGGUCUGAGAGGACGACCAGCCACACUGGGACUGAGACACGGCCCAGGCUCCUACGGGAGGCAGCAGUGGGGAAUUUUGGACAAUGGGCGCAAGCCUGAUCCAGCCAUUCCGCGUGCAGGACGAAGGCCUUCGGGUUGUAAACUGCUUUUGUAUGGAACGAAAAGGCUCUGGCUAAUACCUGGGGCUCAUGACGGUACCGUAAGAAUAAGCACCGGCUAACUACGUG